This 821-nucleotide ribosomal RNA is filed under the name uncultured bacterium. Its description in RNAcentral is "bacterial SSU rRNA". It matches the Rfam family "Bacterial small subunit ribosomal RNA", at positions 8 to 812 of the family's 1533-position model. The record is from RNAcentral.
AGAGUUUGAUCCUGGCUCAGGAUGAACGUUGGCGGCGUGCCUAAUACAUGCAAGUCGAACGCGCAGCGAAAGGUGCUUGCACCUUUCAAGCGAGUGGCGAACGGGUGAGGAACACGUGGAUAACCUGCCUCAAGGCUGGGGAUAACAUUUGGAAACAGAUGCUAAUACCGAAUAAAACUUAGUAUCGCAUGAUACAAAGUUGAAAGGCGCUACGGCGUCACCUAGAGAUGGGUCCGCGGUGCAUUAGUUAGUUGGUGGGGUAAAGGCCUACCAAGACAAUGAUGCAUAGCCGAGUUGAGAGACUGAUCGGCCACAUUGGGACUGAGACACGGCCCAAACUCCUACGGGAGGCUGCAGUAGGGAAUCUUCCACAAUGGGCGAAAGCCUGAUGGAGCAACGCCGCGUGUGUGAUGAAGGCUUUAGGGUCGUAAAGCACUGUUGUAUGGGAAGAAAUGCUAGAAUAGGGAAUGAUUCUAGUUCGACGGUACCAUACCAGAAAGGGACGGCUAAAUACGUGCCAGCAGCCGCGGUAAUACGUAUGUCCCGAGCGUUAUCCGGAUUUACUGGGCGUAAAGGGUGCGUAGGCGGUCUUUCAAGUCAGGAGUUAAAGGCUACGGCUCAACCGUAGUAAGCUCCUGAUACUGUCUGACUUGAGUGCAGGAGAGGAAAGCGGAAUUCCCAGUGUAGCGGUGAAAUGCGUAGAUAUUGGGAGGAACACCAGUAGCGAAGGCGGCUUUCUAGACUGUAACUGACGCUGAGGCACGAAAGCGUGGGGAGCAAACAGGAUUAGAUACCCUGGUAGUCCACGCUGUAAACGAUGA